CAGCAGCCACGGGAAUACAGAGGGUGCAAGCGUUAAUCGGAAUUACUGGGCGUAAAGCGCGCGUAGGUGGUUUGUUAAGUUGGAUGUGAAAGCCCCGGGCUCAACCUGGGAACUGCAUCCAAAACUGGCAAGCUAGAGUACGGUAGAGGGUGGUGGAAUUUCCUGUGUAGCGGUGAAAUGCGUAGAUAUAGGAAGGAACACCAGUGGCGAAGGCGACCACCUGGACUGAUACUGACACUGAGGUGCGAAAGCGUGGGGAGCAAACAGGAUUAGAUACCCGUGUAGUCCCUGUCUCUUAUAC
Molecule: ribosomal RNA, 301 nt
Filed under: uncultured bacterium
Lineage: Bacteria
Description: partial 16S ribosomal RNA
Rfam family: Bacterial small subunit ribosomal RNA
Source: RNAcentral